UACAGAGACUGCAAGCGUUAUUCGGAUUCAUUGGGCGUAAAGGGUGCGUAGGUGGCGGGGUAAGUCAGGUGUGAAAUUUCGGAGCUUAACUCCGAAACUGCAUUUGAUACUGCCUUGCUUGAGGACUGGAGAGGAGACUGGAAUUCACGGUGUAGCAGUGAAAUGCGUAGAUAUCGUGAGGAAGACCAGUGGCGAAGGCGGGUCUCUGGACAGUUCCUGACACUGAGGCACGAAGGCCAGGGGAGCAAACGGG
This 253-nucleotide ribosomal RNA is filed under the name uncultured bacterium. RNAcentral describes it as "partial 16S ribosomal RNA". It matches the Rfam family "Bacterial small subunit ribosomal RNA", at positions 524 to 776 of the family's 1533-position model. The record is from RNAcentral.